GCCACACGCCACAUCCACAGGCUCCCCAGGCAUCGUCACCUGAACAGACAAGACCCAGCACACCGUGAGGAGGGAUGGCCUGGCGGUGGCCGAACAAGGGCCUGACCCUGGCUCUGCUCUGGAGAUUCUAGACGCAGAAAGCUGGUGCGAGCGUAGUGUCUCCUCAGGGAGCAACUUCGAAGACGGCGCACCUGCACCUGCACCUCCCCCUCAGUCCCUGCCAGGACGCUGACGCUGCUCUUCUGACCGGACCCGAAUCCUGCCGUCCCUCCCCAGUGGCAGCGCGCAGCGGGGCAGCGUGACAGCUGGAGAGGGAUCUGUAACAGCCUGCGGAGUUUACUGAGCUUUGGAGGGAAAGGCCUCGUCCAGAUGGCCUGCCCUAAAAGCCCAGAGGCAGCAACGUCAACCGUUCAGAGACAAGUCCAUUAGGGUCUCCCGGCCACAAGGCAAACGGAUGCUAGUAACCAAGUCGUGCUACUCACCCGUCCCUAAACAAACGCCUUCAGCAAAACCUGUUACAGAAAUCACUGAACAAACAUGCAGCGGUGCCCUCAGCUCAUCGCAAAGGCCCAGAGCUGCAGAAAGCGUUCCAGGCUGGCCAUAGAAGCAGAAGAAAACAUGCUGCCUGGGCUGACCAGGCCAGGUGAGCUCCUAGCAACCUCCCCGGGCCACGAGAGCACCUUUAUUGACCUUCCCCCAGGAAAGGGCCACUCUCCGUGCUGACCUGCGGCCGAGCUGUCACACUUAGGCACCUCUGUCCUUGUUCCCCAAGGGCUGUGACCAUCAGAACCCAAAGCAGAGGGAGCCACCUCGCCUUGGCUGACUCGCCGGGGCGAUGGUCGUGGCUGACGCCGGCCCCAGGAGCCUCCCUGGGGAGCAGCAGGUGGCUCCCAAGGCCCCAGCCCCCCCCCCCCCCGCCAACUGCCUCUCAGCGCAGCCUCUGAACUGAGUCCGAGAGAAGGCUGCCCUCAGCCACGUUUUAUUUGUGGCCUCAUCAGGGUUAAAAGGAGUUUCUAUUCUAAACCAGUUUACACUCACAUUGUUGCAAAGGCAAACAGUUCCAGAAAACGAACCAUAUUUGGCCUGAGUGACUCUGAAAAGUUUCAGCAGAAUCAGUGUAGGAACAGCUCUCUGCACAAGGACAAGUUCCCAAGACACACACCCCCCAGGUGAAGGACAGAGGACGGCAGAGGAGGAGCGCUGGACCAGCUGUGAUCCGGCCACCGGACUUGCCGUGUCCCCACUCAGCUGCACCCGAGAUGCCCUGCCCGGCGCCCAGAAGCCAGGCCACACCCCGGAGGGGAGCCGCUCAGCCUGCGAGGAGGUCCAGCCCCUGCGGCGCGCCCUCCCCUGGGGCAUCAGAAUUGCCGGGGCCUGUGGCUCCUGAAGCAGCCAGUGAGACAGCAGAACAGACUGGAGAAAGGUCCAACUACCCAACAAGAGACUAACCUUUAAGGAAUCCAACCUAGUUGAUCGAAAACCUGGUUCCUGUCACCACCACUCUCCCAGAGCCCCAGCCUCGCAUCUUGGAGCCGGCACGGACCUCAGCGCCAUCCUCCCGACCAAAAGGUGACACAUGGGUGAAGGAGCUCCACAGACACACAAGGGGAGACAAUGGUGUGGGGCAUGAAAGCAGCCGUCACGGGAACAGACCAGAGUGCCCUUUCCCUGAUGGCAUGGAGGCCGGGAACGACACUUCAGAGGGAUGUUUAGCGCAGGGGUCCGGCUUGACCAACGGGGCAUCCGCCCCAAGGCCUGCCACCCCACCACAGAGGCCAAGCCUGGCCCGGCCACUUGGACAACGAAAACGCUCUCAAACCUGAUUUCACAGCUGAUCUUCGCUCUAAUUGGGAGGAAAUGAAGGCAGAGAAAGCACUGGAGUCAGGGCCUGCCGAGCUCAGGGGAGCCAGCAGCCAAGGGGAGGGCUGAGAGAAAGAGCCCCUAAAAUACC
Molecule: long non-coding RNA, 1951 nt
Organism: Balaenoptera musculus (blue whale)
Lineage: Eukaryota; Metazoa; Chordata; Mammalia; Artiodactyla; Balaenopteridae
Exons: 4
Source: RefSeq, a predicted model, not a curated record